Callithrix jacchus (white-tufted-ear marmoset) is the source of this 109-nucleotide Y RNA. It matches the Rfam family "Y RNA". From Rfam's summary of the family: Y RNAs are components of the Ro ribonucleoprotein particle (Ro RNP), in association with Ro60 and La proteins. The record is from Ensembl. NCBI's taxonomy places the organism in Eukaryota, Metazoa, Chordata, Mammalia, Primates, Cebidae.
GGCUGGUCCAAAGGUAGUGAGUUAACUCAAUUGAUUGUUCACAGUCAGUUACAGAUCGAACUCCUUGUUCUACUCUCUCCCCCCUUCUCACGACUGCACUUGUCUUAAA